Molecule: ribosomal RNA, 495 nt
Filed under: Scutellastra barbara
Lineage: Eukaryota; Metazoa; Mollusca; Gastropoda; Patellidae
Description: partial 16S ribosomal RNA
Rfam family: Bacterial large subunit ribosomal RNA
Source: RNAcentral
UCAAAAACAUGGCUCUCUGUGAUAAAAAAAAAUAGAGAGUCUAGCCUGCUCAAUGAUGUUUUCAUUAAAUAGCCGCAGUAUCCUGACUGCGUGAAAGUAGCAUAAUAAUUUGCCUUUUAAUUGGUGGCUGGUAUCAACGGUAUUAUGAAGGUGAAACUGUCUCUUAUGUAUUCUAUUGAACUUACCUACUAGGUGAAAAGGCCUAGAUGAUUUUAUAAGACAAGAAGACCCUGUCAAGCUUUACAAAGUUAAGAUUUAUCUAAUAUAUUUUGUUUGGUUGGGGCAACCGGGGGGCAAAUAAAAUCCCUCCACUUCUAUUUCCCUUUCUAGGAACGACCCGCAUUAGCGAUCUAGGGAAAAAGCUACUGCAGGGAUAACAGCGUAAUUUUCUUUGUGAGCUCUUAUUUAAAAGAAAGUUUGCGACCUCGAUGUUGGAUUAGGGUAUCCUGAAGGUGCAGAAGCUUUCAAGGGUUGGUUUGUUCAACCAUUAAAACC